UCCCUGGUAGAUCCUACAGUAGUAGCACAUGCCAGUCUCAAAAGUUAAUCCACGGUGUUGUUGUGAAUGGCUGGAUGAGGGUUCAGCUCCUGUAUAGAUAACUGGUUAUUGUAGAACUGAUCCACACUUGCGGCUCCAGUGACUCUGGUGAUUCUUGGUAACUUAGAUCAAUCACAUUUUCUCCCCACCCCCGCCAUGGCCCUGUCACUCUUAGGUGGCAGUUGUAGUGCCUACUGAGGCGACCACUGUGACCAAGAAUCUUAAUAGGGAAUCUCAAUUUGGUUCUGCAGAGAGAGAGCCUGAUAAAUUAAUACCCUAUCUAAAGAAUGCAGCAGGCGCACAAAUUACCCACUCCCAACUCUGGAGGAUAGUGAUUAAAACAACAUAGAACUCUUUCAAGGCCCUGUAGUUGGAAAGAGUCCAGUUUAAAUCCUUUAAAGAGGAUCUGUUGCAGGACAAGCCUGGUGCUGGCAGCCAUGGUAAUCCCACUUUCAAUGUGGCGUGCUGAAUUCCUGGCAGUUAAAAUGCUUGUUUUUGGAUCUUAAUGUGCUGCCGGGGUCCAUUGCAAGAAAGUCCAUGCUUCUUGUCUUUUGGUACCUUAUGGGCUCUUCUUCCCUGAGUUUCCCUGGAGCUGAAGUGUGCACUUGAAGAAAAUUAGUGUUCAAAGUAACAUGGGCUGCCUGGAUACUGCUGGUGGGAAUCAUGGAAUGGGAGCGUGGUUCUAUUUUGUUUGUGUCAGAACUUUGAGGAAGCUGAUUAAGCAGGGCAAUUGGGGCAUUAGUAUUGCACCGCUAGGACUCAAAUUCUGGGCCAGUAAUAAGACUGAUCAGAGUGAAAGCUUUUGCCAAGGAUGUUUUCAUUAACCAAGAAUGAAGGUGAAAGUGGGAAGUUUAAAGAUGUUCAGGUCCUGUGUAGUUAUGAACAUAAAUGUGAUUUUGACCACUGCAUUAAUGCCCAUGACCCACUAGCAGCUUCCAGGAAACCAGAGCCCUUUGGGUCAUGGUAGGGGGAAGGUCUGUGUUCAUAGUUGAAACCUUUUCAAAGGCAACAGCAGUAGAGACAGCUUAAUUUGACUGAACAUGAGCAACCUUACCCGCUUCCAGCACAGACAGGAUUGUCCCAUUGAUAGUUAUUCUGUGGGUGGGGGUGCAUGGCUUUUCUACUUGAUGAAGAGAUUUGACUAGUAGUUAAUCGAUAACCAGGGAGACUAGCAUGCUAACCAGUUAGGUGAGCAUUCGGCAUCCCCCAAUUUAGACAAAUGGCACUCAGCCAUCUGAGAUUGAGCAGUUAGGCUCUGGAUCGCCCAACUGGUUAGCACACUAAGUAACCAGAUAGAGCUCUCCACCAGCCUAGAAAAGGCAUGCACCCCCACCCACAGAAGAGUAGCCACAGGCAUGUGAUGCUCUUAAAUGCCACGCUCUUAACCACGCACCACACUGCUCUCGGCAUGUGCUCACUUGAAUCCGAUGGAUGCCAGAGACCUGUUAAGUCCAUUAGUGAUGGGGAUCGGGAUUGUAGUAAGUCCUCGUUAAGGAAGAGUUCCCCGUGAGAGAGCAGGCCGAAAGUGUGCAUUAAGUUUCUGCCCAUUCUCCCUCCAAUAGGCCACUAGGGAUUGGCUCUUGGCCCUGAUGGAUAGCUGAGAACAGUCUAAAAUAAAAGUUGUAACCAGGGUUCCCUAAGUGGACCCGGGUAGGAGCUUUA
This 1701-nucleotide ribosomal RNA is filed under the name Nomascus leucogenys (northern white-cheeked gibbon). RNAcentral describes it as "Eukaryotic small subunit ribosomal RNA". It matches the Rfam family "Eukaryotic small subunit ribosomal RNA". The record is from Rfam by way of RNAcentral. Lineage: Eukaryota; Metazoa; Chordata; Mammalia; Primates; Hylobatidae.